UACGUAGGGGGCUAGCGUUGUCCGGAAUCAUUGGGCGUAAAGGGUACGCAGGCGGUAAUGCAAGUCAGAUGUAAAAGGCAGUGGCUUAACUACUGUAAGCAGUUGAAACUACAUAUCUUGAGUAGAGGAGAGGUAAGUGGAAUUUCUAGUGUAGCGGUGAAAUGCGUAGAUAUUAAAAAGAAUACCGGUGGCGAAGGCGACUUACUGGGAUCAUUCUGACGCUGAGGAACGAAAGCGUGGGUAGCAAACAGG
RNAcentral lists this ribosomal RNA (252 nucleotides) under uncultured bacterium. Its description in RNAcentral is "partial 16S ribosomal RNA". It matches the Rfam family "Bacterial small subunit ribosomal RNA", at positions 524 to 776 of the family's 1533-position model. The record is from RNAcentral.